AAGAUGGGCACAAAUACUUGGU
RNAcentral lists this non-coding RNA (22 nucleotides) under Arabidopsis thaliana (thale cress). Lineage: Eukaryota; Viridiplantae; Streptophyta; Magnoliopsida; Brassicales; Brassicaceae. The record is from RNAcentral.